CCCCCCCCCUCCUUGCAGAGAAAACAUUUGGUCAGUUUGGGAGUCAAAAUGGUUUCAGGAUGUCUUCUUGUGCUGCUCCAGACAUGUGAUUCACAUAUCUAUGUACGUGCUUCAUUGUUACAUUUAUGAACAUUUAUUAUAUAUAUAAGACCUUAAUUUUUUUAUUUCAGAAUGCUCUGACAAUACGUGAGGAAUGAGGAAGAACAAGAAGCCAAAAUGUUUAAGAAAGGAAAUCUUACCGCAUGAUUAGCUCCAAACACUUUCCAAAUCUACUCCAGUAUGCUACUGGUGCAGGCAUUCAGAUAUUAUCAUAAAAGUAUCUCUAAGCUUCUUUUUCUAAUAGCAAGGAUUUACUUAACUCAAAAUCCCUUCCCCUUGACAUCCGCAUCAUGGGUAGGCAAACUAAGGCCCGGGGGUUGGAUCCGGCCUAAUCGCCUUCUAAAUCCAGCCCAUGGACGGUCCAUGAAUCAGUAUGUUUUUACAUGAGUAUAAUGUGUCCUUUUAUUUAAUAUGCAUCUCUGGAUUAUUUGUGGGGCAUAGGAAUUCAUUCUUUUUCUUUUUAAAAAAAAUAUAGUCCAGCCCCCCACAAGGUCUGAGGGACAGUGGACCGGCCCCUUGCUGAAAAAGUUUGCUGACCCCUGAUCCACAUCCUCCUAGCUAUGAGAGCCAAGAUGCUGGUCCAUCUCUCCCUCCACAGUAAAAGUGGGACUGGAGGAGUCCCAAAUACCUGGCUUACAUUUUGCUUGCACCAGGUUACCGAUCCAAUCAACAACACCAAAAACCUUGCAUUUUCACUUGCCAACAGGAAAAGGAUAUUCAAAAAGGUGGCUCUGUUUGUUCUGUAGCAGCAAAAUUACAUUGGCCUAUUUAGAAAUUCUUGUAGCUGGUUGCUGUAAUUUUUGUAUUUAUUAUUUUCCUUCUUCUCCACCCCCCCACCCCAAAUACCUUAUGUGAAAUCUUGCCUGGAGAACUUAAACACUUGCCACUUUGGUGGUAUUUGGGUUUGUCCCAAAUAAAAGUUUUGCUGAACUGAGGAUUCUGACAUUUUUACUGUGUAUUUCCCUGUUUAGGGAAGUUUUUAAUGUCUGAUGUUUUAUUGUGUUUUUAAUAUUCUGUUGAGAACCACCCAGAGUGGCUUGGGAAACCUAGUCAGAUGGGUGGGGUAUAAAUAAUAAAUUAUUAUUAUAUUAUGUUAUUAUUAUUUUAUAAUUGCUUCUUUUAAAGUUUUGUUGGCAUGGAUGGCCCUUGCAAGGGCCUAAAACAUGAUGCUUCAAUUAAGAGGAUCAACAACAAUCAGUGUUGGGUUGACUUUUAAUCAUUGUGGUUCUCUCCCCCCCCCCCCAUGUUUUCAGCUGUUCUUAUUUUUAUCUGUAAGCUUUUGUUGGCGUCUCUCGGUGCUGCACAGGCUGGGGCAACCUUUCCCAGGCCAAUUUGGACAGUGUGGCAUCUUUCAAGGAUGGGGAGACCUUCCAGAAGGCAACUCCAGGCAGUGCAGCAGAACAGAGAGAGAUUGUGCAGUUAAAUGAGGACCUGAAGCUUGAGAUACAGAGAGAUUUGUGCUUGCCUAUGAAACAUGCUUUCUCAAGAACAACCAACCCCAGAGUUCCUUGUGCAUAAUAGACUGCAUGGAGGAACCGUCGGUGAAAGGCUGGUGAAACUGAUCCCAGGGGCACAGUAGAAGACAGGGCUGCCGCUUUACAGGCCCAAAAUAUAGAGAUCUACUUCACACCCACGCUGCCAUGGCAUGCUGUAAAUGCAGUUCACAGCUGUUUCUGAUGAGCUUUCUCAUCAUUUCCCUCCCAAAAGGUUCAUUUGGGUUCUUAUUAACAAAAAUCAGCAACGUGUGUUAUGGUUUUUUGGGCAACACCAAUAACUGGCAGAAGCCGAAAGAAGUUUCAGUAAGUGAAAAUGUUGUUGGAGACUCACGAUUUCAUUAUAUCGGUGACCUGGAACAUAUUCCCACCCAGAGUCUAUUCUGGGGUGGCCUCAGGGUAUACGAGAAACCUGGCAAGUGGCUUUCUUAUAUAUUACGAGCUAAUAAAACACUUCUCAGAUUGUAUCAUCGUAACCACAGCAUUAUUUUAGACACUACUUUUCUCCCACUUAGCGGC
This is a non-coding RNA of Podarcis lilfordi (Lilford's wall lizard), 2111 nucleotides long. The record is from the annotation of a GenBank genome assembly. NCBI's taxonomy places the organism in Eukaryota, Metazoa, Chordata, Lepidosauria, Squamata, Lacertidae.